RNAcentral lists this ribosomal RNA (415 nucleotides) under uncultured bacterium. RNAcentral's name for it is "bacterial SSU rRNA". It matches the Rfam family "Bacterial small subunit ribosomal RNA", at positions 103 to 518 of the family's 1533-position model. The record is from RNAcentral.
CGGGUGAGUAACGCGUAUCCAACCGUUCCCUAUAGUAGAGGAUAGCCCGGCGAAAGUCGGAUUAAUACUCUAUGUUUCCGUUGCAGACAUCUAAGAUGGAACAAAGGCUUGCCGCUAUAGGAUGGGGGAUGCGUCUGAUUAGGUAGUCGGCGGGUAACGGCCACCGAGCCAUCGAUCAGUAGGGUUCUGAGAGGAAGGUCCCCCACAUUGGAACUGAGACACGGUCCAAACUCCUACGGGAGGCAGCAGUGAGGAAUAUUGGUCAAUGGGCGAGAGCCUGAACCAGCCAAGUAGCGUGCAGGACGACGGCCCUAUGGGUUGUAAACUGCUUUUAUGCGGGGAUAAAGUUCACUACGUGUAGUGUUUUGUAGGUACCGCAUGAAUAAGGACCGGCUAAUUCCGUGCCAGCCGCAGC